This 275-nucleotide small nuclear RNA is filed under the name Pteropus vampyrus (large flying fox). RNAcentral's name for it is "7SK RNA (ENSPVAG00000029699.1)". It matches the Rfam family "7SK RNA", at positions 1 to 281 of the family's 331-position model. From Rfam's summary of the family: 7SK was discovered as an abundant small nuclear RNA in the mid-70s but a possible function has only recently been suggested. Two independent studies have found that 7SK RNA binds the CDK9/cyclin T complex (known as elongation factor P-TEFb). P-TEFb activates transcription by phosphorylating the C-terminal domain of RNA polymerase II. Lineage: Eukaryota; Metazoa; Chordata; Mammalia; Chiroptera; Pteropodidae. The record is from RNAcentral.
AAAUGUGAAGAUAGUCUCACCCAAUAUCUUUCACCUAAGUGUGGAUUUGGCUAAUCUGUAUGGCUGGGCAGAUGUCCUCUUUCUUCCUCCAUUACUACUCCAUGUGCAUCUCUUCUGAAGCUGAGUGUGUGCUGGGAACAGGGACUUUCCCCCACAAGAAGGGACCAUUUUUCCAUCAAGGGCUUUAGAGUGGCCAAGCACCUUUGCUAGAACCUCCAAAACAAGCUUUCAAUGUCCAUCUGUAGCAGAACCACAGGAUAGUCAAGUUUUUUNNN